CCUUCCUGUGCUAAAGGAGUCUCCCUUCCACAGGUGAAACCCAGAAUGGAGCAGAGGACACAGGAUUUGGACUAUUGUAAUGCCCGUCUUACCAGGAGACCCUCUCCUUUGCUGGCUCUGAAGAAAGGAGCAUCAUGUUAGGGAAGCCCAAGGAACCAAGAGCAGGCUCUGGCCAACAACCAGCUAGGAAUGAGGGCAACAUUUGGCUGACGGCUGACCAGAAGCUAAGGCCCUUAGUCCAACCACCUGCAAGGGCUUGAAUCCUACCAACAACUGUGUAAGCUGGGAAGAUCCUCUCCAAGUGAACAUUGAG
Molecule: long non-coding RNA, 313 nt
Organism: Suricata suricatta (meerkat)
Lineage: Eukaryota; Metazoa; Chordata; Mammalia; Carnivora; Herpestidae
Exons: 3
Source: RefSeq, a predicted model, not a curated record